UUUUCAGGACAAGGGUUUUGCGGUCUGGGAGGCGGUUGUGGGAGGCUGGACCAGGUGAGGUGGGGUUUUGGAUAUACUUUACUGGCAUUAUCUCUUGGAAGAAGUAGUCCUUUUGUGGCAGUCUAUCGAUGGUACAAUUUCAUUCACUUAUAAAAUUUUCUUUUAAAUAUGUGGGCCUUUAUACAAUAAACAUGAGGUUUCUAUUAUCUACCUCAAAUACUAGAAUAUUUCUCCCAGGUUGGGAAAUUUUCUUUUCUAUGUCUGGUGAAGUUGAGCAAGAGCAGAGAGUCUUACUUGGAUAUUUACACACAUUUGUGAUUUGUAUAAUUGACAGGUACAGAUAGACAUGAAGAUAAUCAAAG
RNAcentral lists this long non-coding RNA (362 nucleotides) under Panax ginseng (ginseng). RNAcentral describes it as "long non-coding RNA (PGIN_LNC012507)". The record is from RNAcentral. Lineage: Eukaryota; Viridiplantae; Streptophyta; Magnoliopsida; Apiales; Araliaceae.